This 253-nucleotide ribosomal RNA is filed under the name uncultured bacterium. RNAcentral's name for it is "partial 16S ribosomal RNA". It matches the Rfam family "Bacterial small subunit ribosomal RNA", at positions 524 to 776 of the family's 1533-position model. The record is from RNAcentral.
UACGUAUGGAGCAAGCGUUAUCCGGAUUUACUGGGUGUAAAGGGAGUGUAGGCGGCAUGUCAAGUCUGAUGUGAAAAUCCGGGGCUUAACCCCGGACCUGCAUUGGAAACUGUCAGGCUGGAGUGUCGGAGAGGUAAGUGGAAUUCCUAGUGUAGCGGUGAAAUGCGUAGAUAUUAGGAGGAACACCAGUGGCGAAGGCGGCUUACUGGACGACAACUGACGCUGAGGCUCGAAAGCGUGGGGAGCAAACAGG